This 77-nucleotide transfer RNA is filed under the name Rariglobus hedericola. RNAcentral's name for it is "Opitutaceae bacterium 53C-WASEF tRNA-Val". It matches the Rfam family "tRNA". From Rfam's summary of the family: Transfer RNA (tRNA) molecules are approximately 80 nucleotides in length. Their secondary structure includes four short double-helical elements and three loops (D, anti-codon, and T loops). Lineage: Bacteria; Pseudomonadati; Verrucomicrobiota; Opitutia; Opitutales; Opitutaceae. RNAcentral also lists the same sequence under 2 other names. The record is from RNAcentral.
GGACCCAUAGCUCAGUUGGUUAGAGCGUUUCGUUGACAUCGAAGAGGUCACUGGUUCGAGCCCAGUUGGGUCCACCA